RNAcentral lists this ribosomal RNA (634 nucleotides) under Lysinibacillus sphaericus. RNAcentral's name for it is "partial 16S ribosomal RNA". The stretch from base 78 to 634 matches the Rfam family "Bacterial small subunit ribosomal RNA", at positions 874 to 1461 of the family's 1533-position model. Lineage: Bacteria; Bacillati; Bacillota; Bacilli; Caryophanales; Bacillaceae. The record is from RNAcentral.
GAACAAAAAUUUAACCCCCCGGGGGCCCCCCGAAAAAUUAUUGGGGUUUCCCCCCUUAAGCACCCAAAAAACCCCCCUUGGGAAAACCCUUCCAAAAUUUUACCAAAGAUUUAGGGGGCCCCCCCAAAAGGGGGAACCUUGGUUAAUUAAAACCCAAAAACCCUUCCCAGGUUUUUAAACCCGUUUUGCCCUGGAAAAAAAGUUUCCCUUUGGGGCCACGGUUAAAAGGUGUGAUGGUUGUUGGCACUUCGUGUCGUAAAUGUUGGUUAAGUCCGCAAGAGUGAACCUGUUUUAAGUGCAUUAUUAAGUUGGCCCUCUAAGGGACUGCCGGUGCAACCGGAGGAAGGUGGGGAUCGUCAAAUCAUCAUGCCCCUUAUGACCUGGGCUACACACGGUGCUACAAUGGCGAUACAACGGUUGCCAACUCGCGAGAGGGAGCUAAUCCGAUAAAGUCGUUCUCAGUUCGGAUUGUAGGCUGCAACUUCGCCUACAUGAAGCCGGAAUCGCUAGUAAUCGCGGAUCAGCAUGCCGCGGUGAAUACGGUUCCCGGGCCUUGUACACACCGCCCGUCACACCACGAGAGUUUGUAACCCCGAAGUCGGUGAGGUAACCUUUGGACCAGCUCAUUAUUCAA